ACCCUGUAGACCCGGGUUUGUGU
RNAcentral lists this microRNA (23 nucleotides) under Platynereis dumerilii (Dumeril's clam worm). Its description in RNAcentral is "Pdu-Mir-10-P4_5p* (star (passenger))". Lineage: Eukaryota; Metazoa; Annelida; Polychaeta; Phyllodocida; Nereididae. RNAcentral also lists the same sequence under 2 other names. The record is from RNAcentral.